GAAUAAACACUGCUUGCAGGUUCUAAGAAUUCUGGUCCCCUCUUUGGGCCCAAAAAUUAUCCGACAAAUAUUUAAUAUCAAUUCUAUGCCAAGAACACUUGAUAAUGGCCAUUUUUUAAUGGUCUAUUACACAAUCAAUAUUUUUCUCCUUCCAGAAGAAUGAUUUUCAUCUGCUUCCCCCUUUAUUCUCACAUGUCACAACUUAUAAUUCAGGUCUUCUUUCUCCUAAUAAGUAGAACAAAUGAAUGAACAUAUGCAUGGCCCAUGGAAGACUUCUUUUACAAAUUUGUAAAGCUUUAUCAACUAAAUUUAUAAAAAACUUUAUCUUAUUCUCUAUAGAGAAAUUUGGGAAGUGUUGACUAGCUGCUGCUUGGAUGACAUAGUUUUCCUUUUCAAAUACAGAUAUUUUAAAAGCCUUUGAUAACUCAUUUUACUGUUCAUAUGUGCCCAAGAGUAUUUGUUGUUUGCAACCUGUGGCAGUUAAGAAUAGGUAGGUGGGAAUUCUCCAUUCUCUUUUUUUCUUGUCCAUGUAGCUGGUGAAAAGAUCCUGGCUCCCUGAGUUAUUGUUAAGUAAAAGGUUCCAGAUACAGCCACCUAAAUACAUUCAACAAUCCUGGAAAUUAGAGUAUUGUGCAAAAACAGAUUUCAGGGAUUUUGUUACUGCUACAAAGCAUAGCUUACUACGACUAAUACCAAUACCAAAAUAUCCACCCAAAACAAUUAACUUAUGAAGUGGUACCCUUGCUUGGCACUAGAAAUUAUCCCCAGAGCAAUCACAGAAGUUGUUUAAUAAUGUAUCAUCAAAAGUAAGAUAAAUUACUUUGCCUGGAGUAUGUCUUUAAUUUGUAUAUGUCUGUUCUCAAGGUCCUAUUUCUUAUUUCAAAGAGCAAGGUAAAUUGCCUACAUGUAAGCUAAUGAACUAGCUAUUUGAAAUCAUUACUUCUUUACAAUUAGUGCUGUUGGAUCCCCAAGGAUCCAACUCUUGCUGGCUAAAUGUAAUUUUAUCCUACUCUGUGUAGAAAUAUGGAAAAUGUUGUCUAGCUACUGCAUAGAUAAAGUAAUUUUCCUUUUCAAGUAUAUUUUCUUUGUGAAAAUAUAUUGUCAGGCUUUUAUAACGCUUAAAUUUCCAUCUUUUUUUGUUUUAACAGAGAACAGUAAAAACACAUCAAAAAUUUUGAAACAUGAACCCAAAUAUUAAUUUGAUUUCUUCAAGGUGUCAAAAAGCAAAUAAUGAAAUCUAACGCUCUGAGUUAUACAUGGCAAAUGCUAAAAUUGGCUUUAAUUUAGUAGCAAAUAGUCACCCUUUGAAGCUAGAAUUAUGAAUGGUUUGUAAAUAUCUUUUGCAAGAAAUUGUGGUGGUGGUGAUGAGACAGAUACAUUUGGAUAUUGCAAAUCUGGAAAUAUUUCCUAGAGACAUGACUUUUCCCACAACUUUUUAGAUUGAAUCACAAAUCAGCAAUAGUCUUUUCUGUUCCUUUAUUUAAACUGAGAUUCUGAGUAUGAAAACAGAGUCACACUGAAUGUAAUUUUCUUUUUCUAAACUCCUGUGAUUUAUUUGUUUUGAUCUGGAAGUUAAUCAGAUAACAACUCAUCACAAGUCUUGGUUCUCCACCUAAAUUGUAAAGCAUUGAAGAGUUUUAUGCAUAAAGCUUGUUGCACAGUAAAGUGUCCCUAAAAUUUGCCUUCUAAAAUAUAUGGCAAGUAACUCCCCACAAUUUUAUAUAGUUCUGCAAACCUAUAGGGAACUCCCAAAAUGUAUAUAACACAUGCCCAUAUCCAUGUUGAUCACAAUUAGGUUGUGAUCCCAAAAAUAUUAUAUAAAAUCUUAGAGUGUACUAGACUAACACAGCCAGUGAUGGCAGCAUUUCAACUACUCAACUACUCCCUCUUAUAAUUAUGCAAACAAUAUCUAAGUAUUUAAGCAUCAACUCAUUGAAUGAGUUUAAAGAAUUUUUCUAGGCGAAGACAGGCCAAAAUGAUGAAGACACAGAAAUUAUUAUAGAAACUCCUGGCCACAGUGAGGACCAGAUUGUUUCACUGGACAUUUUUGGUUCACAGAGACAAAAAAGACGGAAUUCAAUGAUUGUAGUAACCCACAAUGGUCUAGCAACUGUUAGUUAGUUGGUGAAAUGGUACAUGUCUUAAUAAGAGAAAUAUGAUUUUCCAUGGUAUCCAUGACAAAUUGUGCUUGCGGUGCUGAAGAUUUCAUGGUGAUUGACUGGUAGAUUAGCAUUUAGGAAGGACAGCUUUACAAAUGUUUACAUUUGAGAUUGAAAUACAUUUUAUUGAUUGACUUCCAAGUAACAGAAAAUGUUUUGAAAUUCCUUUUUUCACUUACUAAGAUCUUUCUUGUUUUCUCUCUAGAAAUGACUAGAAAUUUAUCUUUCACCAAAUACUGAACAGAUUUUAACUGUGG
RNAcentral lists this long non-coding RNA (2416 nucleotides) under Homo sapiens (human). Its description in RNAcentral is "HSALNT0034498". The record is from RNAcentral. Lineage: Eukaryota; Metazoa; Chordata; Mammalia; Primates; Hominidae.